UGGGGAAUAUUGGACAAUGGGGGGAACCCUGAUCCAGCCAUGCCGCGUGUGUGAAGAAGGCCUUUUGGUUGUAAAGCACUUUAAGCGAGGAGGAGGCUCCUUUAGUUAAUACCUAAAGAGAGUGGACGUUACUCGCAGAAUAAGCACCGGCUAACUCUGUG
RNAcentral lists this ribosomal RNA (161 nucleotides) under uncultured bacterium. RNAcentral describes it as "partial 16S ribosomal RNA". It matches the Rfam family "Bacterial small subunit ribosomal RNA", at positions 355 to 507 of the family's 1533-position model. The record is from RNAcentral.